This 480-nucleotide ribosomal RNA is filed under the name uncultured bacterium. RNAcentral describes it as "bacterial SSU rRNA". It matches the Rfam family "Bacterial small subunit ribosomal RNA", at positions 30 to 501 of the family's 1533-position model. The record is from RNAcentral.
AUUGAACGCUGGCGGCAUGCCUUACACAUGCAAGUCGAACGGUAGCACGGGAGCAAUCCUGGUGGCGAGUGGCGAACGGGUGAGUAAUAUAUCGGAACGUGCCCAGUCGUGGGGAUAACGUAGCGAAAGCUACGCUAAUACCGCAUACGAUCUAUGGAUGAAAGCGGGGGAUCGCAAGACCUCGCGCGAUUGGAGCGGCCGAUAUCAGAUUAGGUAGUUGGUGAGGUAAAGGCUCACCAAGCCGACGAUCUGUAGCUGGUCUGAGAGGACGACCAGCCACACUGGGACUGAGACACGGCCCAGACUCCUACGGGAGGCAGCAGUGGGGAAUUUUGGACAAUGGACGCAAGUCUGAUCCAGCCAUUCCGCGUGCAGGAUGAAGGCCCUCGGGUUGUAAACUGCUUUUGUACGGAACGAAAGGUUUAGUCGUUUAAUAACGAUGAGCUCAUGACGGUACCGUAAGAAUAAGCACCGGCUAAC